This 852-nucleotide ribosomal RNA is filed under the name Tricladium attenuatum. Its description in RNAcentral is "eukaryotic LSU rRNA". It matches the Rfam family "Eukaryotic large subunit ribosomal RNA", at positions 71 to 946 of the family's 3401-position model. The record is from RNAcentral. Lineage: Eukaryota; Fungi; Ascomycota; Leotiomycetes; Helotiales; Tricladiaceae.
GGGAUUACCUCAGUAACGGCGAGUGAAGCGGUAACAGCUCAAAUUUGAAAUCUGCCGCAAGGCCGAGUUGUAAUUUGUAGAAGAUGCUUUGGGUAUGGCCCCGGUCUAAGUUCGUUGGAACACGACGUCAUAGAGGGUGAGAAUCCCGUAUGUGACUGGGUGCUUUUGCCUAUGUAAAGCUCUUUCGACGAGUCGAGUUGUUUGGGAAUGCAGCUCAAAAUGGGUGGUAUAUUUCAUCUAAAGCUAAAUAUUGGCCAGAGACCGAUAGCGCACAAGUAGAGUGAUCGAAAGAUGAAAAGCACUUUGGAAAGAGAGUUAAACAGUACGUGAAAUUGUUGAAAGGGAAGCGCUUGCAACCAGACUUGCACGCUGUUGAUCAUCCAGGCUUCUGUUUGGUGCACUCAACUGCGUUCAGGCCAGCAUCGGUUUUGGUGGUGGGAUAAAGGCCUUGGGAAUGUAGCUUCUUUCGGGGAGUGUUAUAGCCCUCGGUGCAAUGCCGCCUACCGGGACCGAGGACCGCGCUUCGGCUAGGAUGCUGGCGUAAUGGUUGUAAGCGACCCGUCUUGAAACACGGACCAAGGAGUCUAACAUCUAUGCGAGUGUUUGGGUGUCAAACCCAUACGCGUAAUUAACGUGAACGGAGGUGAGAACCCUUAAGGGUGCAUCAUCGACCGAUCCUGAUGUCUUCGGAUGGAUUUGAGUAAGAGCAUAGCUGUUGGGACCCGAAAGAUGGUGAACUAUGCCUGAAUAGGGUGAAGCCAGAGGAAACUCUGGUGGAGGCUCGCAGCGGUUCUGACGUGCAAAUCGAUCGUCAAAUUUGGGUAUAGGGGCGAAGACUAAUCGAACCAUCUA